Molecule: ribosomal RNA, 506 nt
Filed under: bacterium EP1.29
Lineage: Bacteria
Description: bacterial SSU rRNA
Rfam family: Bacterial small subunit ribosomal RNA
Source: RNAcentral
ACGAGCGGCGAACGGGUGAGUAACACGUGAGCAAUCUGCCCUUCUCUUCGGAAUAACCAUUGGAAACGAUGGCUAAUGCCGAAUACGACCUCCUUUCGCAUGAUCGGAGGUGGAAAGCUCCGGCGGAGAAGGAUGAGCUCGCGGCCUAUCAGCUAGUUGGCGGGGUAACGGCCCACCAAGGCGACGACGGGUAGCCGGCCUGAGAGGGUGACCGGCCACACUGGGACUGAGACACGGCCCAGACUCCUACGGGAGGCAGCAGUGGGGAAUAUUGGACAAUGGGCGAAAGCCUGAUCCAGCAACGCCGCGUGAGGGAUGACGGCCUUCGGGUUGUAAACCUCUUUCAGCAGGGACGAAGCGAAAGUGACGGUACCUGCAGAAGAAGGACCGGCCAACUACGUGCCAGCAGCCGCGGUAAUACGUAGGGUCCGAGCGUUGUCCGGAAUUAUUGGGCGUAAAGGGCUCGUAGGCGGUUUGUCGCGUCGGGAGUGAAAACUCAGGGCUCA